Molecule: non-coding RNA, 449 nt
Organism: Puma concolor (puma)
Lineage: Eukaryota; Metazoa; Chordata; Mammalia; Carnivora; Felidae
Source: RefSeq, a predicted model, not a curated record
CACUGCCCUCCAUCUUAAGGCGUUGCUGGAUUUUGAGGAUAAGAAUGGAGAGAAGGUGGUGGCAGGAGAUGAGUGGCUAUUUGAAGGACCUGGCACAUAUAUCCCCCAGAAGGAGGUGGAGGUCCUGGAGAUUAUCCAGGCCACGGUCAUCAGGCAGAACCAGGCCCUGCGGCUGAGGGCCCGCAAGGAGUGCUGGGACCGGGACGGCAAAGAGAGGGUGACAGGGGAAGAAUGGCUGGUGCGUUCCGUGGGGGCAUAUCUCCCGGGAGUGUUUGAGGAGGUUCUGGAUUUGGUGGACGCCGUGAUCCUCACAGAAAAGACGGCCCUGCACCUCCGGGCUCGGCAGAACUUCCGAGACUUGAGAGGAGUGACCCGUCGCACGGGGGAGGAGUGGCUGGUGACCGUGCAGGACACGGAGGCCCAUGUGCCAGACGUCUACGAGGAGGUGC